Molecule: long non-coding RNA, 743 nt
Filed under: Oryza brachyantha (malo sina)
Lineage: Eukaryota; Viridiplantae; Streptophyta; Magnoliopsida; Poales; Poaceae
Description: long non-coding RNA (OBRA_LNC001440)
Source: RNAcentral
GCAAAAGUUUUGAUACUGUAUUUUUACAAGUUGGUAUUUAGAGGCACGUAAAAGUUGUCUUUUUUGGCGAAAGUGAGAGGUGGUCCGCGUCCUUAUACACUUUUUAAUGAAAUUUGCUACUCUAGACUGCCAAAUGCUAAAUGCGAAUUUAUCAUUUUCUUACCCUACUGUUUAGAUCUAUUUUAUCAAAAGUACUUCAAAAUGACAAAACAUUUGCCAUUUUAAAAGAUCUAAACACGCCCUAAACUAGAGCAACAAAACAAACUAGCCAUUCUGCUAUAAUCAGACUGGGCGGCACGGGAAGGUCAAACAAACCAAAAGAAAAAGGGUUAAUUGAUUCCAUGCCACUGUAAAUAUGGCUAUUUAAAAAAAUGUCACUACAAUUCACGUAUUCGGGUGGGUGCCACCACAAUUUUUUAAAAUCAGAUCCAUGCCACUGCCGUGACUUUUCCGUCCAUCUCACACUUCCUUCCGUUUUCUUCCGUCCGACUCGUCACCACCUCCGGUAAGACGUCAGCUGCGGAGGCGAAGACGACGACGGAGCCGACGGCUCCAGCAGCGGGGUCGGUGACCGGCGGAAUGGGCGGGGGGCUUGGACAGGAGCACGAAGAGCGUCGUGAGCGCGGAUAUCCCGGCCGGCGAGGAGGAAGCUGACGACGAUGUCGCGAAGGAACUUGUCCUCCGCGGCGCCAUGCGCGUCUCCGGCCGAGGCCAUGAACCGGGACAGGAGGUCGUGGCUGNNN